CAGAGGUCCCGAGCGUUGUUCGGAUUCACUGGGCGUAAAGGGUGCGUAGGUGGCAUGGCCAGUUUGAUGUGAAAGCUCAGGGCUUAACCCUGAAAUGGCAUUGAAUACUGCUGUGCUGGAGGUUUGGAGGGGGGACUGGAAUUCUUGGUGUAGCAGUGAAAUGCGUAGAUAUCAAGAGGAACACCAGUGGCGAAGGCGAGUCCCUGGACAACACCUGACACUGAGGCACGAAAGCCGGGGGAGCAAACAGGAUUAGAUACCCUGGUAGUCCCGGCCCUAAACGGUGCGUGUUUGCUGUAAGAGGAAUCGACCCCUUUUGUGGCGAAGCUAACGCGUUAAACACGCCGCCUGGGGAGUACGGUCGCAAGAUUA
Molecule: ribosomal RNA, 372 nt
Filed under: uncultured organism
Description: bacterial SSU rRNA
Rfam family: Bacterial small subunit ribosomal RNA
Source: RNAcentral